This 368-nucleotide ribosomal RNA is filed under the name uncultured Achromobacter sp. RNAcentral describes it as "bacterial SSU rRNA". It matches the Rfam family "Bacterial small subunit ribosomal RNA", at positions 1011 to 1382 of the family's 1533-position model. Lineage: Bacteria; Pseudomonadati; Pseudomonadota; Betaproteobacteria; Burkholderiales; Alcaligenaceae. The record is from RNAcentral.
GGAGUGCUCGCAAGAGAACCGGAACACAGGUGCUGCAUGGCUGUCGUCAGCUCGUGUCGUGAGAUGUUGGGUUAAGUCCCGCAACGAGCGCAACCCUUGUCAUUAGUUGCUACGAAAGGGGCACUCUAAUGAGACUGCCGGUGACAAAACCGGAGGAAGGUGGGGAUGACGUCAAGUCCUCAUGGCCCUUAUGGUAGGGCUUCACACGUCAUACAAUGGUCGGGACAGAGGGUUGCCAACCCGCGAGGGGGAGCUAAUCCCAUAAACCCGAUCGUAGUCCGGAUUGCAGUCUGCAACUCGACUGCAUGAAGUCGGAAUCGCUAGUAAUCGCGGAUCAGCAUGUCGCGGUGAAUACGUUCCCGGGUCUU